Eurytemora carolleeae is the source of this 263-nucleotide long non-coding RNA. RefSeq lists it as uncharacterized. NCBI's taxonomy places the organism in Eukaryota, Metazoa, Arthropoda, Copepoda, Calanoida, Temoridae. The record is from RefSeq and is a predicted model, not a curated record. The transcript has 2 exons.
GGUACCCCUGUAUACAUGCAGUACACUCAGGAGGAGGCCAUUGAUCAUGUUAACAACGACGACAUUUUAAAAUGUUUUAACAUUUAAUUUUGUUUAAAUUCUUCUUUUUUGAACAAAGCUUGGCUAAGGUUAUAAAAAAGAAGUUUUUUAAGAAGUUAUGGGAUUUGACAUUCUAUACAAAGAAGGGUAUGUAUGAUUCACAACCGUAUCCUUUUUUUCGAUCGAUAAAGAGUAAGUAACAUAGAUAAAUAAAUAAACAAAGA